UACAGGGGGUGCAAACGUUGCUCGGAAUCAUUGGGCGUAAAGCGCACGUAGGCGGUUCGUUAUGUCGGAUGUGAAAGCCCUUGGCUUAACCGAGGAAGUGCAUCCGAAACUGGCGAGCUAGAGUACGAAAGAGGAUCGCGGAAUUCCCGGUGUAGAGGUGAAAUGCGCAGAUAUCAGGAGGAACACCGGUGGCGAAGGCGGGUCUCUGGGCCGUAACUGACGCUGAGGAGCGAAAGCGUGGGGAGCGAACAGG
RNAcentral lists this ribosomal RNA (253 nucleotides) under uncultured bacterium. Its description in RNAcentral is "partial 16S ribosomal RNA". It matches the Rfam family "Bacterial small subunit ribosomal RNA", at positions 524 to 776 of the family's 1533-position model. The record is from RNAcentral.